CACCACUGUUUUGUUUUCAAAUUACUGUUUUCUUUUCCUCAGUCAUAUAUUUCCCUUCUAAUACCCUUGUUUUCUAGCAUAUAAGAGAAGCAUAUUGAACUUGUGGCCUUGUUGCUAGGUUUCAAGCUGCAUUUAUGCAGUCUACUGAGACAUUCUUCUCAUUUUUGAAUUCUGAAUCAAGUCCCAAGGCAACAGUGCCCUGUUUCUUAGCAACACAGAUGGGUAGACUGCAUAUUCCAGCUCUUUUGUACAAUGGAAGAAUAAACAAUUCCCUGAGUAAGUGUGUGCUGCAAGUCCAUUGCUUCACUUAAUUUCACAGAGAAGAGAGGAAAGGGAAGCUUUCUGUGGUACAGCAGAUGAAGUUUGUCUUGAAGUCCCUCUCUUUGCAGAGUGUGAUUGCAAUAUUUGAGAAGAAAAAAUGAAUCAUCAGGCCAUUCAUCCUCCACCAAGAAGAGAGAAAAUUUUUAUUUGAAACUCAAGGAAAAUUUUCUGCAAGCCUUGGCUGGCCUUCCUCUCAACAACAAACUGCAGUGCAGCAAUCCAAAGGCAACAGAUAUAUGGCUAAAACAACCUCCUGAUUUUAGAUACUGGCUCUAUAAGUCAUCCUACCUUCCUCAGAAGUCACAAGGAAAGUGAAAAGGGGAACUGAAGCCAAAAGGAAUCUCUGAGGCCACAGUCAUGCCUGAGCUGCACUCAGGGUUAGGGUUAUGCUUAAGGUUACCCCAGCGCUCCUUUAAUCUGAAGUUAAAACCACGGCAUUUAAACAUAGAUCCUGAACUUGAACCACUGAAAGGAAAGCAAAAGGACUCUGACAGGAGAUUUUUUACAUACAAGCCUUAUGAAAGCAAGUGGGAUCCACAGAUGCUACUGCCAAAGAGUCCCUGGCCACCUACAUCUGCUUUAUUACUGAGGCCUUUUCUUAGCUGGAAGAAGUCAGUCAAGGAAGUAUCUGUCAUGCUGAUUGUACUAAAAUUGUG
Long non-coding RNA from Parus major (Great Tit), 977 nucleotides. Lineage: Eukaryota; Metazoa; Chordata; Aves; Passeriformes; Paridae. The record is from Ensembl.